AUUGAACGCUGGCGGCAUGCUUUACACAUGCAAGUCGAACGGCAGCGCGGGCUUCGGCCUGGCGGCGAGUGGCGAACGGGUGAGUAAUGCAUCGGAACGUGCCCAGCAGUGGGGGAUAGCCCGGCGAAAGCCGGAUUAAUACCGCAUACGACCUGAGGGUGAAAGCGGGGGACCGAAAGGCCUCGCGCUAUUGGAGGGGCCGAUGUCGGAUUAGCUAGUUGGUGGGGUAAAGGCUUACCAAGGCGACGAUCCGUAGCUGGUCUGAGAGGACGACCAGCCACACUGGAACUGAGACACGGCCCAGACUCCUACGGGAGGCAGCAGUGGGGAAUUUUGGACAAUGGGGGCAACCCUGAUCCAGCCAUGCCGCGUGCGGGAAGAAGGCCUUCGGGUUGUAAACCGCUUUUGUUCGGGAAGAACUCCUCUGGGCUAAUACCCCGGGGGGAUGACGGUACCGGAAGAAUAAGCACCGGCUAACUACGUG
Molecule: ribosomal RNA, 484 nt
Filed under: uncultured bacterium
Lineage: Bacteria
Description: partial 16S ribosomal RNA
Rfam family: Bacterial small subunit ribosomal RNA
Source: RNAcentral